RNAcentral lists this ribosomal RNA (520 nucleotides) under uncultured Glomus. RNAcentral describes it as "SSU rRNA". It matches the Rfam family "Eukaryotic small subunit ribosomal RNA", at positions 569 to 1092 of the family's 1831-position model. Lineage: Eukaryota; Fungi; Glomeromycota; Glomeromycetes; Glomerales; Glomeraceae. The record is from RNAcentral.
AGCAGCCGCGGUAAUUCCAGCUCCAAUAGCGUAUAUUAAAGUUGUUGCAGUUAAAAAGCUCGUAGUUGAAUUUCGGGGUCAGUAGGUCGGUCGUGCCAACGGUAUGAACUGGUCUCACUGAUUCCUCCCUCUUGUAGAACCGUGAUGCCAUUAAUUUGGUGUUGCGGGGAAACAGGACUGUUACUUUGAAAAAAUUAGAGUGUUUAAAGCAAGCUAACGCUUGAAUACAUUAGCAUGGAAUAAUGAAAUAGGACGUCUGUCUUAUUUUGUUGGUUUCUAGGAUGGACGUAAUGAUUAAUAGGGAUAGUUGGGGGCAUUAGUAUUCAAUUGUCAGAGGUGAAAUUCUUGGAUUUAUUGAAGACUAACUACUGCGAAAGCAUUUGCCAAGGAUGUUUUCAUUAAUCAAGAACGAAAGUUAGGGGAUCGAAGACGAUCAGAUACCGUCGUAGUCUUAACCAUAAACUAUGCCGACUAGGGAUCGGAUGAUGUUAAUUUUUAAUGACUCAUUCGGCGCCUUACG